RNAcentral lists this ribosomal RNA (228 nucleotides) under Euechinoidea sp. JM-2011. RNAcentral describes it as "partial 28S ribosomal RNA". It matches the Rfam family "Eukaryotic large subunit ribosomal RNA", at positions 99 to 314 of the family's 3401-position model. The record is from RNAcentral. Lineage: Eukaryota; Metazoa; Echinodermata; Echinoidea.
CGGGAAGAGCCCAUCGCCGAAUCCCAGCGGCCCCUUAGGCUCUGGGAGCUGUGGCGUGAGGCGGCUUCGGGCGCGCGAGUCCACGACGCCGAGGUCCUCCUGAUCGGGGCACCUUACCCAGAGCGGGUGUCAGGCCCGUUCGGGCGUCGGGUCUCAAGGGCCUGGAGCCACCAAGAGUCGGGUAGUUUUGGAAUGCUGCCCAAAGAGGGGUGGUGAACUCCAUCCAAG